RNAcentral lists this unclassified non-coding RNA (198 nucleotides) under uncultured Sebacina. Its description in RNAcentral is "sequence contains ITS1". The record is from RNAcentral. Lineage: Eukaryota; Fungi; Basidiomycota; Agaricomycetes; Sebacinales; Sebacinaceae.
GUGAAUCUUCAAAAGUCGGCUCGUCGGAUUGUGCUGGUGGAGACACAUGUGCACAUCUGCGGGUCGCAAACCCACACACCUGUGCAUCUAUGACUCUGAGUGCCGCUUUGCAUGGCCUUGACCGGCCUGGCGCUCGAGUACUUUUCACACUCUCGAAUGUAAUGGAAUGUCUUUUUGUGCGUAACGUACAAACCGAAA